RNAcentral lists this ribosomal RNA (241 nucleotides) under uncultured bacterium. Its description in RNAcentral is "partial 16S ribosomal RNA". It matches the Rfam family "Bacterial small subunit ribosomal RNA", at positions 57 to 305 of the family's 1533-position model. The record is from RNAcentral.
GCAAGUCGAACGAUGGUCUGUAUGACAUAGUGGCAGACGGGUGAGUAACACGUAAGUAAUCUACCCUUGAACGGAGGACAACUCGGCGAAAGUCGAGCUAAUACUCCAUACGAUCUCUUUGAGGCAUCUUAGAGAGAUGAAAGGUUUCGGCCGAUCAAGGAGGAACUUGCGAUUUAUCAGCUAGUUGGUAGGGUAACUGCCUACCAAGGCUAUGACGAAUAGCCGGUCUAAAAGGAUGACC